GAGUUUGAUCGUGGCUCAGAUUGAACGCUGGCGGCAGGCCUAACACAUGCAAGUCGAGCGGUAGAGAGAAGCUUGCUUCUCUUGAGAGCGGCGGACGGGUGAGUAAUGCCUAGGAAUCUGCCUGGUAGUGGGGGAUAACGCUCGGAAACGGACGCUAAUACCGCAUACGUCCUACGGGAGAAAGCAGGGGACCUUCGGGCCUUGCGCUAUCAGAUGAGCCUAGGUCGGAUUAGCUAGUUGGUGAGGUAAUGGCUCACCAAGGCGACGAUCCGUAACUGGUCUGAGAGGAUGAUCAGUCACACUGGAACUGAGACACGGUCCAGACUCCUACGGGAGGCAGCAGUGGGGAAUAUUGGACAAUGGGCGAAAGCCUGAUCCAGCCAUGCCGCGUGUGUGAAGAAGGUCUUCGGAUUGUAAAGCACUUUAAGUUGGGAGGAAGGGCAGUAAAUUAAUACUUUGCUGUUUUGACGUUACGACAGAAUAAGCACCGGCUAACUCUGUGCCAGCAC
This 509-nucleotide ribosomal RNA is filed under the name uncultured bacterium. Its description in RNAcentral is "bacterial SSU rRNA". It matches the Rfam family "Bacterial small subunit ribosomal RNA", at positions 9 to 514 of the family's 1533-position model. The record is from RNAcentral.